Long non-coding RNA from Canis lupus familiaris (dog), 973 nucleotides. RefSeq lists it as uncharacterized. The record is from RefSeq and is a predicted model, not a curated record. The transcript has 5 exons. NCBI's taxonomy places the organism in Eukaryota, Metazoa, Chordata, Mammalia, Carnivora, Canidae.
GUUUAAUAUGAAUUAUUUAUCUCAGCAUUCAGUAAAGACGGUUUGAAGUCCUACUAUAUUUGAGCACUCUUCUAGGAGUGAGAGCUACAGAAGUGGACAAAGCCCCUACUCAAGGCGAAUCCUCCUAGGAUUCUUUUAUCUUCUGGAAAAUGCAGAGGGACUGCUCGCCUGGUCUUCAGGAGAGGUACGCUACUGCCAUCUUGGGUCAUCAACAAGCUGUGUCCGAUGCCUACCGUCUGCUCAUGGGGAAGGACAUUAGAACAUAAAUUGAUGUAUUCCGUAUAAGGCAUUGCUUUGGUCCAGAGCUUCUGCAGCUGCAGAGUGGCCCCCUGAUGGCACCAUCUACCACACUGUCCCCACAGACUCCCCCUCAGCACUCCAGGCUUCCCCAGCUCAAGAGAAAGCCAGUUGUCUUUCUAAAUGAACAACUCAGUAGAGACGACAAAAGUGCUGUGGCCGUUUCACAUCCACAAGGAGACUGUUCCCUGCUUCUGUGGACAGGUUGUGUCCAGAAAGUCUGGAGAGCAAAACCACAGAUUACAAUGCUGGACAUAUGUCUCCUCUCUCUUUCAGUUUUCUGCUUUCCACAAGCUUUGUUUAGAUCGUGGCUUGGAUGUUAACCUCAGCAUAAGAAGUCAGCCAACCUUCACAAGCUUCUGUAUCUUUAGCUGCAAAAUGGGAAUGAGAAAAACCGAUCUACAGCCCAACGUCCUUGUGAGGAUUCAACAGGGUCACAUGUGCAAGCUCCGUCAUGGUGCUGGCCAGAAGCAAGUGCUGGGUUGAAAUUUUUUCUCUCUUUACAUCUACCCCUUUCCUCAUUCUCUCCUUCAAUUAAUAGAUAUUUAUAAUGGAUCUUUGGAGUCAGAUUGUCCUCGACAGUCAUUGUGUCAUCCCUUCAUUUUGUGGAUUCUAAAAUGUAUUAGCCCAAGUUGGCCAGUUUGCCUGACCUGAUAGAGAAGGAAACCCAUCUCUC